CUAGUUGGUAAGGUAACGGCUUACCAAGGCAACGAUGCGUAGCCGACCUGAGAGGGUGAUCGGCCACACUGGAACUGAGACACGGUCCAGACUCCUACGGGAGGCAGCAGUAGGGAAUCUUCCGCAAUGGGCGAAAGCCUGACGGAGCAACGCCGCGUGAGUGAUGAAGGUCUUCGGAUCGUAAAACUCUGUUAUUAGGGAAGAACAAAUGUGUAAGUAACUAUGCACGUCUUGACGGUACCUAAUCAGAAAGCCACGGCUAACUACGUGCCAGCAGCCGCGGUAAUACGUAGGUGGCAAGCGUUAUCCGGAAUUAUUGGGCGUAAAGCGCGCGUAGGCGGUUUUUUAAGUCUGAUGUGAAAGCCCACGGCUCAACCGUGGAGGGUCAUUGGAAACUGGAAAACUUGAGUGCAGAAGAGGAAAGUGGAAUUCCAUGUGUAGCGGUGAAAUGCGCAGAGAUAUGGAGGAACACCAGUGGCGAAGGCGACUUUCUGGUCUGUAACUGACGCUGAUGUGCGAAAGCGUGGGGAUCAAACAGGAUUAGA
Molecule: ribosomal RNA, 545 nt
Filed under: uncultured Staphylococcus sp.
Lineage: Bacteria; Bacillati; Bacillota; Bacilli; Caryophanales; Staphylococcaceae
Description: bacterial SSU rRNA
Rfam family: Bacterial small subunit ribosomal RNA
Source: RNAcentral